GGCCCGAGCGCCCGCCGGGCGCGCAGCAGGCGCCGUGCCGCGGCGGCGGCGGGGAGCGGGUGCGCCGCCCCGGGCCCGCCUGGCCCCGGCGGCGCUGGGCAGCGGUGCGUCCUCUGCGGCGCCGCUUGCGAGCGUCGCCCUGGGCCUCUGCCGGGCGCAGCCUGCCGUCGCCUUCGCCGCGAGGUCAGGGCACCCGGGGCUGCGUAGCCUGGCUUGGGGUCCGGAUCCUGCCUGUGCGCGUUACUGGUGCUGGCUGGGGAGUCACGCCGGGUUUGCGGUGCGUGUGUGCGCUCUGCGGGACAGCUCCUUACGGCGGGUGGAGCGUGGGAGACGGAGCAGCUUAGCGGUGGAAGGAAAAACUGAGAUUAAGUUGCAGAACCAGAAUGGUACCUGUGAAGAUAUGAAAAAGACACUGCCAAUUUGGAAGAAAGGAAUUGCAUAUGUAGUAUGACUUUAGUUUUAAUUAAGUGAUAAUCUAUUUAAUGUCAUAUGAAGUGUUAAACACUUUAACAGGUGAAUUGAAGCUAAUGACCGUGCUGUUUUGAGAAGCGUGAAGUGAUAUACUUUAGCAGAGCAUGUUAUGUAUGAUUACAGGUUGCAGAAGAAUACCAGUGUGUUUGAGAAAUUGUGCGUGGCCACAUAUAAUCAAGAAAAGGUUGUGAUCAUUUGAAGAGAAGGCCAAGUGUGUAUUUUAGAGGGAGGCUGAGGUCUCAUUUCCACAUUCUUCAGUGUAUUAAUGCGUGACUUUGUAAGUUAUUAAGCUGCUGAACCACUUUCCCUGCUGUGAUAAUGUUUACCUUCUUCAAGAUCUGCAAAGGAGAUGGGCAAUGUAGUUCUUAAGUUAGUAUUUUUAAUAAUGCUUCAUUAUAUCUGCCAUGCUGAAGAUUAAAAUAACCACUGCACGUACAGUUCUUGAUAUUUGCUUGUUUUCUGUGUUUAGCAUAUUCUUGUGUGUGACUUUAUGUGUUCCCUUUUGCAUCUUGACAGCAGUUUAUAUAGUUUACUUUGCUAAUAAAAUAUUUUGAAUGAA
Dromaius novaehollandiae (emu) is the source of this 1030-nucleotide long non-coding RNA. RefSeq lists it as uncharacterized. Lineage: Eukaryota; Metazoa; Chordata; Aves; Casuariiformes; Dromaiidae. The transcript is spliced from 2 exons. The record is from RefSeq and is a predicted model, not a curated record.